This 481-nucleotide ribosomal RNA is filed under the name uncultured bacterium. RNAcentral's name for it is "bacterial SSU rRNA". It matches the Rfam family "Bacterial small subunit ribosomal RNA", at positions 30 to 505 of the family's 1533-position model. The record is from RNAcentral.
AUUGAACGCUGGCGGCAUGCCUUACACAUGCAAGUCGAACGGCAGCACGGGAGCAAUCCUGGUGGCGAGUGGCGAACGGGUGAGUAAUGUAUCGGAACGUACCUUCAGUGGGGGAUAACGUAGCGAAAGUUACGCUAAUACCGCAUAUUCUGUGAGCAGGAAAGCAGGGGAUCGCAGGACCUUGCGCUGAUUGAGCGGCCGAUAUCAGAUUAGCUAGUUGGUGAGGUAAAGGCUCACCAAGGCGACGAUCUGUAGCGGGUCUGAGAGGAUGAUCCGCCACACUGGAACUGAGACACGGUCCAGACUCCUACGGGAGGCAGCAGUGGGGAAUUUUGGACAAUGGGCGCAAGCCUGAUCCAGCCAUGCCGCGUGAGUGAAGAAGGCCUUCGGGUUGUAAAGCUCUUUCAGCCGGGAAGAAAACGCAUGGGUUAAUACCCUGUGUGGAUGACGGUACCGGAAUAAGAAGCACCGGCUAACUACG